GACGAACGCUGGCGGCGUGCUUAACACAUGCAAGUCGAACGGAAAGGCCCUGCUUUUGUGGGGUGCUCGAUUGCCGAACGGGUGAGUAACACGUGAGUAACCUGCCCUUGUCUUUGUGAUAACUUCAGGAAACUGGGGCUAAUACCGGAUAGGAGCUCCUGCUGCAUGGUGGGGGUUGGUAAGUUUCGGCGGUUGGGGAUGGACUCGCGGCUUAUCAGCUUGUUGGUGGGGUAGUGGCUUACCAAGGCUUUGACGGGUAGCCGGCCUGAGAGGGUGGACGGCCACAAUGGGACUGAGGUACGGACCAGAAUGCUACGGGAGGCAGCAGUGGGAAAUCUUGCACAAUGGGCGGAAGCCUGAUACAGCAACCCUGGGUGCGGGAUGACGGCCUUCGGGUUGUAAACAGCUUUCGCCUGUGACGAAGCGUGCGUGACGGUAAUGGGUAAAGAAGCACCGGCUAACUACGUG
RNAcentral lists this ribosomal RNA (468 nucleotides) under uncultured bacterium. Its description in RNAcentral is "partial 16S ribosomal RNA". It matches the Rfam family "Bacterial small subunit ribosomal RNA", at positions 28 to 507 of the family's 1533-position model. The record is from RNAcentral.